CAGCAAGCUCUCCUGUAGGUGCUGCUGUGAGGACCAAACAGGCUGUUCCUCUGUCUACUUAUCCUUUCCAUAAUAUUGUAACACUUAUCUCAGUUUCGCCACCGUGAGAAAACAGGGGAUGCCACGCAAUGGUGACAUGGUGUGCACAACGUGACCUUCUCUGAGCCUGUAAAGAGCCGCGCCAACCAGAUGUCAUGGAUCCCCAAAUGUUGUUUUCCCAUUACUCCUCUACCAUGCGGAUUCUUCAAUCUGUAUCUCUCCAAGAGGUUCAUUUAAGUAGUUGCACAGACUUUAUAUUGCCCCUGCUCAAAGAAAGCAUAUGCUUUCGUCCGAGACUGGUGAUUGUUGUAAAUGCAAAAUGAUGAAUGCAGUUUUUUCACUGUUUUUGGUCAUGUUCAAAGAUUCUAAGAUUUUGGCGCAAGGUUAUUGUUUUCAUUAAUAGGCUCCUCUCCAUAUCAGUAUCCCCCGACCCCUUAGCAUGUCUUUGCCUGAACUUUUCCAACUGGAAGUUCCCACACCACAGAAGUACCGUUAUCCCCUUGCUUACUAUUAUUUUAACAUUGUCAAAGAAACUUAUAAUAUUGAUCCACUGGACAGACAGGUCAGCCCCAUCCUUGUGGGAAUUAAAUGACAGAUUACUUCAAUUAUUUCUCUUUGACAAACGUACCCUAACUCUUGAUUCAUCCUCAUCAUACAGUAAAUUUGUUGCAAAAUGGGGUAGAUUUAUGGCCACGUUAAAUUCUUCAUAACAAUCCAAUGUACUAAUCUUUUAGUUUGUCUGACCACCUACUGUCUAUAUAUACUUCUAUUUUUCUCCUACUUCUACAUAAUACAGCAUGACUACCUUGUGGCUCCUUGUGGGUCUUAUAUGAAUCUAGUCAGGUUUAUCUGUCCAUGGUAGAUCUAUGUUUAUGGAAAUGUAUAUGCGUUGUGAUAUUUAUGUUACCUUCAGCUUGAUGUUUUCCUAUAUACUCAGGUUUGGUUAUCUUAGUUUAAGAUUUCCUGAUAUUUGUAGCUUCUAUUGCUUACGUGGUCCACAGCCUCUACCUGAUAAUUUUCUCAUCCUCCUUAAAACAUUUGAUGCGAUCAUUGAUAGUAUAUUUGGAGGUCAUGCUUCAUAUCUCUCCUUAGUGUUUUUCCAUCCCCACUCCUGUCUUGUCAUUGUUUGUCUCCCCCCUUCUAUAUCGGUUUGCUCAUUUUAUUAGGUUGGGAUAUUAUUGUCUAAAAACAUGUACUAUGUUUCAUUCUCUCUUUUGUUAUGGUGAAUACUUCUGUACCCUACCUCUCUGAUUUGGUAGUACUUUGUGCUAUUCUCAUAUGUUAAUGUUGAAAUUUUUCAAUAAAAAUGUUUGAAACAAAAAAA
Molecule: long non-coding RNA, 1363 nt
Organism: Pseudophryne corroboree (corroboree frog)
Lineage: Eukaryota; Metazoa; Chordata; Amphibia; Anura; Myobatrachidae
Exons: 2
Source: RefSeq, a predicted model, not a curated record